Panicum hallii is the source of this 2602-nucleotide RNA transcript. RefSeq lists it as uncharacterized. Lineage: Eukaryota; Viridiplantae; Streptophyta; Magnoliopsida; Poales; Poaceae. The transcript is spliced from 5 exons. The record is from RefSeq and is a predicted model, not a curated record.
CGAGCGACAGACGGUGAAACGGACUCUGCCCACGGCUCCGCAGGUGGCUUGGGUUUUCUCCGCCGGAAGGGGAAGGGCCGAUCGAAGCCGCGCAGGCGCAGAGGAGAAAUCAACCCCCGCCCCCGCCUCCGGUCGGCGGAUGGCCGCCGGCGACGCAGCGACGGUCUUCCUGGAGACGACCCUCGGCACCCGCCUCGUCGUCUCCUUCCCCGCCGGCGCCACCACCGUCGCCGACCUCAAGGGCCGAGUGAGUGCGGAGCACGCGGCCUGUUUCCCCCGCACCGGGCCAAUCGCCGUCACAUCCUUGCAGGUUAAGCUCGAUGACUCCUGGUUUCAGCUCACCGAUUCCAUGGCUGUGCGAGCUGCUUUCGAGUGGGUCAAGGGGCCCUGGCGCCUCCUGGCUGAGGCUCAUGAGCUUCACUCUCAUCCGCUUGCUCGCAAGGAUGCAAAGUGUGGAACUAGUGAUGCUGAACCAAGUGCCGGCCGUCCUGUCAUCUCCGAGAACUCCACACACUACUUGUUGCCUCCUGCAGGGUCUCAGGGAGGUGGGAGUCUUGCCUCUGGUGAUGGCGUCAGUGACACCCCACAGAUAAAUCAGCAGGAUAAACCUCAGGAAGGUGAUGAGCAUGCCUCGGGUCAGGGCAAAGAUGGAACUACCAUGCCACAGAAAAGUUCAGAUCUUUAUUUAGCUCCAGGCGACAGUGACACCCUGCUGCUGGACCAGGAGGACAAACCUCAGGAAUGUGUUGAGCAUGCCUCUGGUCAGGUCGAGGAUGGAAUUACCAUGCCUCAAGAAAGUUCAGAUAUUGAUAUGGCCGCAGGCGACAGUGGCACCUCACUGGCAAACCAGGAGGACAAACCUCAGGAAUGUGCUGAGCAUGCCUCUGGUCAGCUGGAGGAUGGAAUUACCAUGCCUCAAGAAAGUUCAGAUAUUGAUUUGGCCGCAGGCGACAGUGGCACCCCAUUGGCAAACCAGGAGGAAAAACUUCAGGAAUGUGCUGAGCAUGCCUCUGGUCAGCUCGAGGAUGGAAUUACCAUGCCUCAAGAAAUUUCAGAUAUUGAUUUGGCCGCAGGCGACAGUACUGAGCAUGCCUCUGGUCAGCUCGAAGAUGGAAUUACCAUGCCUCAAGAAAGUUCAGAUAGUGAUUUAGCCGCAGGCGACAGUACUGAGCAUGCCUCUGGUCAGCUCGAAGAUGAAAUCAUCAUGCCUCAAAAAACUUCAGAUUUUGACUUAUUAGCAGGCGCCAAUGAUGGCCCACCAAUGAACCAGCAGGACAAAUCUCAUGAUGGUGUUGAGCAUGCCUCUGUUCAGAGUGAAGAUAAGCCUACCAUGCUUCAAGAAAGUUCAGACUUUGGUGCAGCAGCAUGCAGAGGGAAUGGUCCUGUUGGGGGUCAACAAAAGGACAUCAUCGCAGAACCAAGAGGGAAGAAACGUUUUAGGGAGGAAGAUAAAACCAAUGAAAGCAUCAUUGUAAACUGUGGUGAUGAUCUUUCCUCUCUUGCUAGCUCCACUUGUAAUGCUGAAUCGUCUGAGAAAAAGAGCUGUGUGACUGAGCAAGCAAAAUUGAACAGUGUCCCCCUGCCAUAUGAUUUGAAAGACCAUUCACAUGAUUUGGGGGAAAAUCCCUCUGGUGGCCAGAAGGAGACCUCGACAUCUGGUGUGCAUAAUGUUGAAAGCAGCAACAAUGAAGCAGAUAUCCCACUUGGUGUUGAGUCCAUGGAAAGAGGAAAGUCUUCAGACAGAGAAGUGCAGAUAAAGAGAGGUGACGAGGAACCACAGAUAGCUGGAUGUGCUGGUGAAAGCAGCUGCAGAAGAACAGAUGAUCUACAUUGUGUUAAGUCCAUGAAAGAAGACAUCAAGAGGCCAGCUUCCAAUAGCCGUUAUCUCGACAAAGGGAAAAAUGAAGGGGCCAUAUCAAAUCUUAGCAAAGAACGGAUUUGUUUCAGAAGAAGACACAAGCGGAUUGUUGUGCGCAAAGUGCCUAUAAGCAAGGCAAUGAAGAUAUAUUAUUUCAGGGGAUGAAGCAAGAUUCGAUCAAAGUUCUCUGAAGGACUAGCAUGGUCAGAGCCUCCUGCCGUAGCGACAAGCCCUGUUGAUGAGGGCGAGGGCGACUGGUGCCAUUAUGUUCCACCAAUACACCACCACCACCAUUACUGAUCUGCUGCCCUAAUAAAUGUGUGUUAAUAUUAUCUCACCUGGAUGAUUUUGCACAAGAACAUGUUGCUGAGAAAGCCGAGGACAAUUGAGAGAAAAUGGCAAAUGCUUUGAGUACAACCAUGCAUCUGAACCAAUGCAUUUGUGAGCGUUUCAUCAAGUAACAGUUGGAACCUGAGUUGUACCCCAGUUGUAUUCAAAUGGUUGUACGUGUAGCAUGGUCACCAAUAAACUCAAUAGCAUGUGCCCCUCUAAACUCAUGAUCCAAUGGUGUAGUUCCUGAGGUUAUCUAAGGUAUAAUUUCAAUUUCUGAUGAACUUCAUACUAUGGUCAUUCAAGACCAUGGUAUAAGAUGCUCACUUGCUCAUCAUGGCUGACUUAUCGAGCUUGAUGCAACUUAAAACAAUCUAUAUUUAGCUGGAAUGUACUCAUCGGCUUAUUGCUGUA